GAUGAACGCUGGCGGCGUGCCUAAUACAUGCAAGUCGAGCGAACAGAUGAGGAGCUUGCUCCUCUGACGUUAGCGGCGGACGGGUGAGUAACACGAGGAUAACCUACCUAUCAGACUGGGAUAACUUCGGGAAACCGGAGCUAAUACCGGAUAAUAUAUUGAACCGCAUGGUUCAAUAGUGAAAGACGGUUUUGCUGUCCCUUAUCGAUGGAUCCGCGCCGCAUUAGCUAGUUGGUAAGGUAACGGCUUACCAAGGCAACGAUGCGUAGCCGACCUGAGAGGGUGAUCGGCCACACUGGAACUGAGACACGGUCCAGACUCCUACGGGAGGCAGCAGUAGGGAAUCUUCCGCAAUGGGCGAAAGCUUGACGGAGCAACGCCGCGUGAGUGAUGAAGGUCUUCGGAUCGUAAAACUCUGUUAUUAGGGAAGAACAAAUGUGUAAGUAACUAUGCACGUCUUGACGGUACCUAAUCAGAAAGCCACGGCUAACUACGUG
Molecule: ribosomal RNA, 497 nt
Filed under: uncultured bacterium
Lineage: Bacteria
Description: partial 16S ribosomal RNA
Rfam family: Bacterial small subunit ribosomal RNA
Source: RNAcentral